This 212-nucleotide ribosomal RNA is filed under the name uncultured bacterium. RNAcentral describes it as "partial 16S ribosomal RNA". It matches the Rfam family "Bacterial small subunit ribosomal RNA", at positions 1289 to 1500 of the family's 1533-position model. The record is from RNAcentral.
CAGUUCAGAUUGCAGGCUGCAACUCGCCUGCAUGAAGUCGGAAUUGCUAGUAAUCGUAGGUCAGCAUACUACGGUGAAUACGUUCCCGGGCCUUGUACACACCGCCCGUCAAACCAUGAGAGUUGGCAACACCCGAAGUCGGUAGUCUAACCGCAAGGAGGACGCCGCCGAAGGUGGGGUUGAUGAUUAGGGUUAAGUCGUAACAAGGUAGC